UUGGUUUUUUCUUUAAUCUUUUUUUGAAGUUCUUUGUUUGGUUACUGAGAAAAUUUUGCAGCGAUUUCUUGAAACCCAAAAAGACAAGGUUUUUCGUAGUGGUGGAUGUUAAUUUUUCUUUUGUGUGAAUUUGAUUGUGAUUGUGAUUGGAGCCACUGCUGUGUUUGAGUGAUAUUUGAAUGAUUUUUUGUACUGUUUUAGUUUUGAUAAGCAAUUUUUUUUUUCUAAGUUCUUUGUUUGGUUACUGAGAAAAUUUUGCAGCGAUUUCUUAAAACCCAAAAAGGUAGAGAAUUAUGGUGGGAUUUAAAAAUAGGUACAUGAUUGUGGAAUUUUUCUUGGAUCCUAAUAGAGAUCUUGCUGGGCAUGAUCCCAUCAUUAUUACCCAAUUUAAUGUCUCAAAAGGGAUCAAAGACAGCAUUCUUGUAAACUUUGGAGAGUGUGGUCUUGCUUCAUCACUUGGAUCCUUCCAAGUCAAGUAUGUGAAUCCCACCACAAAGCUUUGCAUCAUUAGAGCUUUAAGGGAAGAGUACCAAAAGGUUUGGUCUGCCAUCACCAUGGUUAGGAGUACUUGAAAUUGCCCUGUGCUAUUUAACUUAUUGGACCUAAGUGGGAGUAUAAAGGCUUGUAGAAAUGUAGCCUUGUAGUAUGAUGAGCUAAAAUUUGAGCAGUACAAACUUGUACUUGGGGCUUGUCUCGCCAUCGAUGCUAUUCAGCACAUGCAAAGCUGUCUAGACAAGAUCAAAGUUUUGGAGCACUGAAAGUAUUGCUAAGAUCAAAGGGGGUUGGGGGUGGCUUAAUCAAUGGAUCCCAGACUCUCAGCCCACUGCCAAUACAUCGAUCCCAUUUAAAUCCUCCCUCCACAGUACUCCACCCUCACAUCACAUACCAUUGGCAAAUACAAAAAGAAAAGCAAUAUGAAAGCCACUUGACUUUGCUUUUCUCUUGGUCAUUCUUCCAAUUUACUCAGUGUGAAAACGGAGACUAGUUCUGAACAUGAAGCUAAGGUUGAGGAUAAGCUACAGGUUGUUCCUUCAACUAAAACCAAAGCUCAGUGAGUAUAAACUCUGCCACUCAAUGACAUGCUGCUUUGGAGUGGAUAUUGUCUGCUGAGUUGUCUUUUUCUAUUGAAGGUUUAGUCUUGGUUUCUAAAGAGAAACGAUGUGUCGUUAUUCAGAGUAUAUUGGCCUAUGACUGGUCGUUGUAAUUAUUGAUUAGUGAAGAUAAUUAGUUUCAGUCAGUUUAACAGUUAGCUAGAGAUUCAGUUCAGUUUGUUGGAGAUUAAGCUUGAGUAGUUAGUAAAUAUUUUCUGGUUUACUAUCCUACUCACUGAUAUAAAAAAAAUAUAUGUUUUGGGGACUCUCUAUGUUUCAAUGGAGAUUUCCCCCCCCUUUAUUAAGUUUGGUUGCUGUCAGAACUGUGGAGCCAAUUGUGUUUUUGUGUCUGUUUUUGUUAUUUAACAUGAACAACAGAACAUGAUUUUGUUUCUGUAUUUCUCUGUUUAUGGGGCAUGAGGCUAUCUAUCUUAUUGAUUUGGGGUC
Quercus lobata is the source of this 1538-nucleotide RNA transcript. It is a transcript of the gene named probable ribonuclease P/MRP protein subunit POP5, with no coding region annotated. The record is from RefSeq and is a predicted model, not a curated record. Lineage: Eukaryota; Viridiplantae; Streptophyta; Magnoliopsida; Fagales; Fagaceae. The transcript is spliced from 4 exons.